UUCGCUGGCAGAUAGCUCAUCAACUAUAGCAACUGAUGUCGUUGAAUGUUGAAAGCUAAUAAAUCAAUAAUCUUCGGUCAAACCAAAAAGUACCGUCAAGGCAUAUCCCCCAACAAAUCAAACUUUCAAAGAAACAUCACGUUAAACGUAUUCUUACACAAACCUUUAUAUACUAAAUAUGUAUGCUGGCGAAAUAAAAU
Molecule: long non-coding RNA, 200 nt
Organism: Rhagoletis zephyria (snowberry fruit fly)
Lineage: Eukaryota; Metazoa; Arthropoda; Insecta; Diptera; Tephritidae
Source: RefSeq, a predicted model, not a curated record